RNAcentral lists this ribosomal RNA (491 nucleotides) under uncultured bacterium. Its description in RNAcentral is "partial 16S ribosomal RNA". It matches the Rfam family "Bacterial small subunit ribosomal RNA", at positions 28 to 507 of the family's 1533-position model. The record is from RNAcentral.
GAUGAACGCUGGCUACAGGCUUAACACAUGCGAGUCGAGGGGAAACGACGGGGAAGCUUGCUUCCCCGGGCGUCGACCGGCGCACGGGUGAGUAACGCGUAUCCAACCUGCCUCUGACUGAGGGAUAACCCGUCGAAAGUCGGCCUAAUACCUCAUGGUAUCGUCUGCGGGCAUCCAACGACGAUUAAAGAUUUCAUCGGUCAGGGAUGGGGAUGCGUCUGAUUAGCUUGUUGGCGGGGUAACGGCCCACCAAGGCUACGAUCAGUAGGGGUUCUGAGAGGAAGGUCCCCCACAUUGGAACUGAGACACGGUCCAAACUCCUACGGGAGGCAGCAGUGAGGAAUAUUGGUCAAUGGGCGAGAGCCUGAACCAGCCAAGUAGCGUGCAGGAAGACGGCCCUAUGGGUGGUAAACUGCUUUUAUGCGGGGAUAAAGUGAGGGACGUGUCCCUCAUUGCAGGUACCGCAUGAAUAAGGACCGGCUAAUUCCGUG